AUUUAUAUAGUUUAAAAAAAACAUUACAUUUUCAAUGUAAAAUUAAGAUUAACUUUAUAAAUUUAUAAAAUA
This 72-nucleotide transfer RNA is filed under the name Donacia flemola. Its description in RNAcentral is "tRNA-Glu". The record is from RNAcentral. Lineage: Eukaryota; Metazoa; Arthropoda; Insecta; Coleoptera; Chrysomelidae.